This 1439-nucleotide ribosomal RNA is filed under the name uncultured organism. RNAcentral's name for it is "SSU rRNA". It matches the Rfam family "Bacterial small subunit ribosomal RNA". The record is from RNAcentral.
CUAGCUACAGGCUUAACACAUGCAAGUCGAGGGGCAUCAGGAAGAAAGCUUGCUUUCUUUGCUGGCGACCGGCGCACGGGUGAGUAACACGUAUCCAACCUGCCCUUUACUCGGGGAUAGCCUUUCGAAAGAAAGAUUAAUACCCGAUAGCAUAAUGAUUCCGCAUGGUUUCAUUAUUAAAGGAUUCCGGUAAAGGAUGGGGAUGCGUUCCAUUAGGUUGUUGGUGAGGUAACGGCCCACCAAGCCUUCGAUGGAUAGGGGUUCUGAGAGGAAGGUCCCCCACAUUGGAACUGAGACACGGUCCAAACUCCUACGGGAGGCAGCAGUGAGGAAUAUUGGUCAAUGGGCGCUAGCCUGAACCAGCCAAGUAGCGUGAAGGAUGAAGGCUCUAUGGGUCGUAAACUUCUUUUAUAUAAGAAUAAAGUGCAGUAUGUAUACUGUUUUGUAUGUAUUAUAUGAAUAAGGAUCGGCUAACUCCGUGCCAGCAGCCGCGGUAAUACGGAGGAUCCGAGCGUUAUCCGGAUUUAUUGGGUUUAAAGGGAGCGUAGGUGGACUGGUAAGUCAGUUGUGAAAGUUUGCGGCUCAACCGUAAAAUUGCAGUUGAUACUGUCAGUCUUGAGUACAGUAGAGGUGGGCGGAAUUCGUGGUGUAGCGGUGAAAUGCUUAGAUAUCACGAAGAACUCCGAUUGCGAAGGCAGCUCACUGGACUGCAACUGACACUGAUGCUCGAAAGUGUGGGUAUCAAACAGGAUUAGAUACCCUGGUAGUCCACACAGUAAACGAUGAAUACUCGCUGUUUGCGAUAUACAGUAAGCGGCCAAGCGAAAGCAUUAAGUAUUCCACCUGGGGAGUACGCCGGCAACGGUGAAACUCAAAGGAAUUGACGGGGGCCCGCACAAGCGGAGGAACAUGUGGUUUAAUUCGAUGAUACGCGAGGAACCUUACCCGGGCUUAAAUUGCAGUGGAAUGAUGUGGAAACAUGUCAGUGAGCAAUCACCGCUGUGAAGGUGCUGCAUGGUUGUCGUCAGCUCGUGCCGUGAGGUGUCGGCUUAAGUGCCAUAACGAGCGCAACCCUUAUCUUUAGUUACUAACAGGUUAUGCUGAGGACUCUAGAGAGACUGCCGUCGUAAGAUGUGAGGAAGGUGGGGAUGACGUCAAAUCAGCACGGCCCUUACGUCCGGGGCUACACACGUGUUACAAUGGGGGGUACAGAAGGCAGCUAGCGGGUGACCGUAUGCUAAUCCCAAAAUCCUCUCUCAGUUCGGAUCGAAGUCUGCAACCCGACUUCGUGAAGCUGGAUUCGCUAGUAAUCGCGCAUCAGCCACGGCGCGGUGAAUACGUUCCCGGGCCUUGUACACACCGCCCGUCAAGCCAUGGGAGCCGGGGGUACCUGAAGUACGUAACCGCAAGGAUCGUCCUAGGGUAAAACUGGUGACUGG